RNAcentral lists this ribosomal RNA (2104 nucleotides) under marine metagenome. RNAcentral describes it as "bacterial LSU rRNA". It matches the Rfam family "Bacterial large subunit ribosomal RNA", at positions 1 to 2294 of the family's 2925-position model. The record is from RNAcentral.
UCAAGCGUCUCUAAGGGCAUUUGGUGGAUGCCUUGGCGUUGAGAGGCGAUGAAGGACGUGACACGCUGCGAUAAGCCAUGGGGAGCUGCGAGUAAGCUUUGAUCCGUGGAUUUCCGAAUGGGGAAACCCGACCGUAAGGUCACCCGCAAGGGAGCGAACCCGGGGAACUGAAAUAUCUAAGUACCCGGAGGAAAGGACAUCAACCGAGACUCUGCUAGUAGUGACGAGCGAACGCAGACCAGGCCAGUGGCUUGGGAGAAGACAACCAGAAGCGUCUGGAAAGACGCGCCAUAGUGGGUGAUAGCCCCGUAUGGGUAAUGCUUUUCCCAAGUCCUUGAGUAGGGCGGGACACGUGAAAUCCUGUCUGAACAUGGGGGGACCACCCUCCAAGCCUAAGUACUCCUCAACGACCGAUAGCGAACAAGUACCGUGAGGGAAAGGUGAAAAGCACCCCGAUGAGGGGAGUGAAAUAGACCUGAAACCGAAUGCCUACAAUCAGUCGGAGCCAUCUUGAGUGGUGACGGCGUACCUUUUGUAUAAUGGGUCAGCGAGUUACUUUGACGAGCAAGCCUAAGCCGUUAGGCGUAAGCGAAGCGAAAGCGAGUCUGAAUAGGGCGUAUAGUUCGUUUGAGUAGACCCGAAACCGGGUGAUCUAGCCAUGGGCAGGUUGAAGGUACGGUAACACGUACUGAAGGACCGAACCCACGUCUGUUGAAAAAGACGGGGAUGACCUGUGGCUAGGGGUGAAAGGCCAAUCAAACCCGGAGAUAGCUGGUUCUUUGCGAAAACUAUUUAGGUAGUGCGUCAGUUAUAACUGUCGGGGGUAGAGCACUGGAUGGGCUAGGGGGGCGCGAGCCUUACCAAACCUAACCAAACUCCGAAUACCGAUAAGUACAGCAUGGCAGACAGACUAUGGGUGCUAAGGUCCAUAGUCGAGAGGGAAACAGCCCAGACCUCCAGCUAAGGUCCCUAAAUUGUGGCUAAGUGGGAAAGGAUGUGGGAAGGCCAAGACAGCCAGGAGGUUGGCUUAGAAGCAGCCAUCCUUUAAAGAAAGCGUAACAGCUCACUGGUCUAGACAAGCCGGCCUGCGCCGAAGAUGUAACGGGGCUAAAGCCACAUACCGAAGCUGAGGACGUGAUUUAUCACGUGGUAGCAGAGCGUUCUGUAGGCCUGUGAAGCGUAACCGCGAGGUUGCGUGGAGGUAUCAGAAGUGAGAAUGCUGACAUGAGUAGCGAUAAAGAGUGUGAGAAACACUCUCGCCGAAAGCCCAAGGGUUCCUGCGCAAGGCUAAUCCGCGCAGGGUGAGUCGGCCCCUAAGACGAGGGCGAAAGCCGUAGUCGAUGGGAAUCAGGUUAAUAUUCCUGAACCCGAUGGUAGUGACGGAUGACGUAAGUUGUACAUGCUUAUCGGAUUGUGUGUGCAGCGAAGUUGUCCCAGGAAAUAGCUCCAUCAUUAAGACCGUACCCGAAACCGACACAGGUGGGCAGGUAGAGAAUACCGAGGCGCUUGAGAGAACGAUGUUGAAGGAACUCGGCAAAUUGCCCCCGUAACUUCGGGAGAAGGGGGACCUCCAUGAAGGCAACUUUUUGGAGGUGGCACAGACCAGGGGGUGGCGACUGUUUAUUAAAAACACAGGGCUCUGCGAAGUAGUUAAUACGACGUAUAGGGUCUGACGCCUGCCCGGUGCCGGAAGGUUAAGAGGAGGUGUGAGAGCUCCGAAUUGAAGCCCCGGUAAACGGCGGCCGUAACUAUAACGGUCCUAAGGUAGCGAAAUUCCUUGUCGGGUAAGUUCCGACCUGCACGAAUGGCGUAACGACUUCCCCGCUGUCUCCAACAUCGACUCAGCGAAAUUGAAUUCUCCGUGAAGAUGCGGAGUACCCGCGGUCAGACGGAAAGACCCCGUGCACCUUUACUACAACUUUGCAGUGGCAAUAGAGUGGAGAUGUGCAGGAUAGGUGGGAGCCUUUGAAGCGGUAGCGCCAGUUACCGUGGAGGCGUCCUUGAGAUACCACCCUUCUGCAUUCUAUUGUCUAACCGCGGCCAGUGAACCCUGGUCCGGGACCCUGCAUGGUGGGUAGUUUGACUGGGGCGGUCGCCUCCCAAA